RNAcentral lists this ribosomal RNA (237 nucleotides) under Listeria monocytogenes. RNAcentral describes it as "partial 23S ribosomal RNA". It matches the Rfam family "Bacterial large subunit ribosomal RNA", at positions 2190 to 2426 of the family's 2925-position model. The record is from RNAcentral. Lineage: Bacteria; Bacillati; Bacillota; Bacilli; Caryophanales; Listeriaceae.
UGGUGGGAUACUACCCUGGCUGUAUGACCAUUCUAACCCGCCACGCUUAGCGCGUGGGGAGACAGUGUCAGGUGGGCAGUUUGACUGGGGCGGUCGCCUCCUAAAGAGUAACGGAGGCGCCCAAAGGUUCCCUCAGAAUGGAUGGAAAUCAUUCGCAGAGUGUAAAGGCACAAGGGAGCUUGACUGCGAGACUGACAAGUCGAGCAGGGACGAAAGUCGGGCUUAGUGAUCCGGUGG